Molecule: ribosomal RNA, 477 nt
Filed under: Candidatus Hatepunaea meridiana
Lineage: Bacteria; Pseudomonadati; Candidatus Electryoneota; Candidatus Electryoneia; Candidatus Hatepunaeales; Candidatus Hatepunaeaceae
Description: bacterial SSU rRNA
Rfam family: Bacterial small subunit ribosomal RNA
Source: RNAcentral
ACAACGGAGAGUUUGAUCCUGGCUCAGGACGAACGCUAGCGGCGCGCUUAACACAUGCAAGUCGAACGCCAACGGUUGAUUUCGGUCGACCUAGUAGCGUGGCGAACGGGUGAGUAACGCGUAGGUAACUUGCCCUUGAGUGGGGAAUAAGCUCGGGAAACCGGGUAUAAUACCGCAUAUGUUCCUGAAAUCGCAUGAUUUUAGGAUUAAAGCCUUCGGGCGCUCAAGGAUAGGCCUGCGUCCUAUUAGCUUGUUGGUGAGGUAACGGCUCACCAAGGCUACGAUGGGUAGCUGGUCUGAGAGGACGAUCAGCCACACUGGGACUGAGAUACGGCCCAGACUCCUACGGGAGGCAGCAGUGAGGAAUAUUGCGCAAUGGACGAAAGUCUGACGCAGUGACGCCGCGUGUGCGAUGAAGCCCUUCGGGGUGUAAAGCACUGUCCAGAGGGACGAAUGCUCAUUUCGAUGAGAGAGACG